UUGGUCAACCCUUGGUCAAUGGAUGGUCAACCCUUGGUCAACCAUUCAUCAACCCUUGGUCAACGGUUGGUCAGCCACUGGUCAACCCUUGGUCAAUGGUUGGUCAACCAUUCAUCAACCCUUGGUCAACCCUUGGUCAAUGGUUGGUCAGCCAUUCAUCAACCCUUGGUCAACCAUUCAUUAAUCCUUGGUCAACCCUUGGUCAAUCGUUGGUCAACCCUUGGUCAACCCUUGGUCAAUGGUUGGUCAGCCAUUCAUCAACCACUGGUCAACCAUUCAUCAACCAUUCAUCAGCCCCUGGUCAAUGGCUGGUCAACCAUUCAUCAACCCUUGGUCAACUAUUCAUCAAUCCUUGGUCAACCCUUGGUCAACCAUUCAUAAACCUUGGUCAACCCUUGACCUAUGGUUGGUCAACCAUUCAUCAACCCUUGGUCAACCAUUCAUCAACCACUGGUCAACCAUUCAUCAACCACUGGUCAACUAUUCAUUAACCUCUCAUCAACCCUUGGUCAACCACGGGUCAAUGGUUGGUCAACCAUUCAUCAACCGUUGGUCAACCAUUCAUCAACCCCUGGUCAACCAUUCAUCAACCCUUGGUCAACCCUUGGUCAACGGUUGGUCAGCCAUUCAUCAACCCUUGGUCAACCAUUCAUUAAUCCUUGGUCAACCCUUCGUCAAUCGUUGGUCAACCGUUCAUCAACAAUUGGUCAACCCUUGGUCAAUGGUUGGUCAACCAUUCAUCAACCCUUGGUUAACCCUUGGUUAACCCUUGGCCAACCAUUCAUCAACCUUGGUUAACC
This 800-nucleotide long non-coding RNA is filed under the name Numida meleagris (helmeted guineafowl). RNAcentral's name for it is "lncRNA (ENSNMEG00000003042.1)". Lineage: Eukaryota; Metazoa; Chordata; Aves; Galliformes; Numididae. The record is from RNAcentral.